CCUACGGGUGGCAGCAGUGAGGAAUAUUGGUCAAUGGACGAGAGUCUGAACCAGUCAAGUAGCGUGAAGGAUGACUGCCCUAUGGGUUGUAAACUUCUUUUAUAUGGGAAUAAAACGUUCCACGUGUGGGAUUUUGUAUGUACCAUAUGAAUAAGGAUCGGCUAACUCCGUGCCAGCAGCCGCGGUAAUACGGAGGAUCCGAGCGUUAUCCGGAUUUAUUGGGUUUAAAGGGAGCGUAGGUGGAUUGUUAAGUCAGUUGUGAAAGUUUGCGGCUCAACCGUAAAAUUGCAGUUGAAACUGGCAGUCUUGAGUACAGUAGAGGUGGGCGGAAUUCGUGGUGUAGCGGUGAAAUGCUUAGAUAUCACGAAGAACUCCGAUUGCGAAGGCAGUUCACUGGACUGCAACUGACACUGAGGCUCGAAAGUGUGGGUAUCAAACAGGAUUAGAUACCCUAGUAGUC
RNAcentral lists this ribosomal RNA (460 nucleotides) under uncultured bacterium. RNAcentral's name for it is "partial 16S ribosomal RNA". It matches the Rfam family "Bacterial small subunit ribosomal RNA", at positions 338 to 795 of the family's 1533-position model. The record is from RNAcentral.